GAUGCUAUUCUAGAGAUAGAAAGUUACUUCGGUACAUCGGUGACAGGUGGUGCAUGGUUGUCGUCAGCUCGUGUCGUGAGAUGUUGGGUUAAGUCCCGCAACGAGCGCAACCCCUAUUGUUAGUUGCCAUCAUUCAGUUGGGCACUCUAGCGAGACUGCCGGUAAUAAACCGGAGGAAGUGGGAUGACGUCAAAUCAUCAUGCCCCUUAUGACCUGGGCUACACACGUGCUACAAUGGUUGGUACAACGAGUUGCGAGUCGGUGACGGCGAGCUAAUCUCUUAAAGCCAAUCUCAGUUCGGAUUGUAGGCUGCAACUCGCCUACAUGAAGUCGGAAUCGCUAGUAAUCGCGGAUCAGCACGCCGCGGUGAAUACGUUCCCGGGCCUU
Molecule: ribosomal RNA, 387 nt
Filed under: uncultured Streptococcus sp.
Lineage: Bacteria; Bacillati; Bacillota; Bacilli; Lactobacillales; Streptococcaceae
Description: bacterial SSU rRNA
Rfam family: Bacterial small subunit ribosomal RNA
Source: RNAcentral